RNAcentral lists this ribosomal RNA (424 nucleotides) under uncultured prokaryote. Its description in RNAcentral is "bacterial SSU rRNA". It matches the Rfam family "Bacterial small subunit ribosomal RNA", at positions 355 to 776 of the family's 1533-position model. The record is from RNAcentral. RNAcentral also lists the same sequence under 1 other name.
UGAGGAAUAUUGGUCAAUGGACGAGAGUCUGAACCAGCCAAGUCGCGUGAAGGAAGACUGCCCUAAGGGUUGUAAACUUCUUUUGUAUGGGAAUAAAAAAUGGGACGUGUCCCAUAUUGUAUGUACCAUACGAAUAAGGAUCGGCUAACUCCGUGCCAGCAGCCGCGGUAAUACGGAGGAUCCGAGCGUUAUCCGGAUUUAUUGGGUUUAAAGGGUGCGUAGGCGGGAGAUCAAGUCAGUGGUGAAAUGGUGUGGCUCAACCAUAGCAUUGCCGUUGAAACUGGUUUUCUUGAGUGUAAAUGAGGUAAGCGGAAUGUGUCGUGUAGCGGUGAAAUGCAUAGAUAUGACACAGAACUCCAAUUGCGAAGGCAGCUUACUGGGAUACAACUGACGCUGAGGCACGAAAGCGUGGGGAUCAAACAGG